This 166-nucleotide non-coding RNA is filed under the name chicken gut metagenome. Its description in RNAcentral is "Lysine riboswitch". It matches the Rfam family "Lysine riboswitch aptamer". Rfam says of the family: Riboswitches are metabolite binding domains within certain messenger RNAs that serve as precision sensors for their corresponding targets. Allosteric rearrangement of mRNA structure is mediated by ligand binding, and this results in modulation of gene expression. The record is from RNAcentral.
UUGAAAGAGGUUGCAAUUUUUAUUAGUACUAUUUUUGUUAUCAGAUUAUUGCAAUGAUAGGAAAGGAAAAAUUGCCGAAAUUAAAAAGAAAAAUCUGUAUCUUUUUAGUUGGGAUAAUAUAGAAUAUGUAUUAUACUGUCAUAGAAAAAUCUAUGGUGCGCUUUCA